CGCAUAAUUUGUCUGUUUAACUUUAACUUCAGAAAUGUGCCGAAAGAUCGCUGUUUGACAUUUAUAAUCAUAUUUAUUUUAAAUGUAUAUAAAUAUAAACUAUCUUUGCAUGGAUCUAAUACUACCUAAUAAUGACAUCUAACUACAGUGCUGUUCUGUUCCAAAAUUUCCUGGAAAUGUUGGGCGGAUAUAUCAAUAGAGUUCAAGCAUACUAUCCUGGCAACAACGCUCUGCUCCUUUGGAUGUAUUAGAGAGGAAACCUGUCGACGCAUGGGCUAUUCUUCCUAAAUGGUACCAAGGUGCUCGUUCGCAGGAGGACCACUACUCCCGUAGGAGAUCCGUUUCAUCCCUCUUGCACCGCCAGUAGGAGGGCUGCCACUCCCAAGACUUGCUUAGAAAACCCAAAACUGAAGAGGAUAGAGAUCAAUGGAAUGCAUACAGAUGUGAUGUCAUACACUCACGAAUCACUAUAAAAAAAUAUAGUGUAUAGCUUUUAUGAAGUUAAUUGAGAAGCUAGAUUUAAAAACAAGAAAAGAGAAAUAAAAGGAAGAAAGGGACGAAAGAAGGAGGAACGAUUGAAAGAAAAAUGAAUUUAAAGAAUAAAUUUCAAAAUAGAAAACAGUACAUUUAUUAUUAUUAUUAUCAUCACCACUAUCAUCAUUACGUUUACUAUUACUCAUAUUAUUAUUGCACGCGUAUGGGGAUAAUAUAAAAGAUGUAAUUUAAAUUGAAAAGAGCAGGGGAAAAUAAGACGGAAAGAAGAUGGAGUGCUUGGAAAGGUAAGACACGUUCUGUGUAUGGAAGAGAAAGAGAAACAUUAACAGAAGGGGACAGAUAUUGUGAAAGACGAUUGAAAGGUUUGCUUUUGACGAAAUCCAUUUCCUGACAAGCUCAUUUUCCUAUGUGUUUUCUUGUGGUAUUGUUAAGUUUCAUUCCAGUAAAAAGAGGGAUCCAUGUUUUAUGGAAUGCUUUAUAGCUACAAUAUAUCAAAUUUUGUUUUUAAAAUUUUUAACGUUAUAUAUAUACAUAUAUAAUUUUAUAUAUAUAUAUAUAUAUAUAUAUAUAUAUAUUAGAUUAGAUCAUUCAGUAGCUUUGUAAACUGGUUAACAUAGAUAUGACCGUGUUUACUAAACCGGGUUCAGAUGAGUGAAAAUAUCCAAAUAUAUGAC
This is a long non-coding RNA of Gigantopelta aegis, 1169 nucleotides long. RefSeq lists it as uncharacterized. The record is from RefSeq and is a predicted model, not a curated record. NCBI's taxonomy places the organism in Eukaryota, Metazoa, Mollusca, Gastropoda, Neomphalida, Peltospiridae. The transcript is spliced from 3 exons.